UUGAUUGCUUCACAUAUCACCUUAUAGCACAAUAAAGACCUGUAUUAUAUAUUAAGCCGAGUUAUGUCGAUGUUGAUUACCUUGUCAUAAUUUUUUAUUGUUAUUUUGAUUUUACUUUAUCACACGGUUGUUUUGUUUACAAUAGGUUGCUUGGAGUGCCAAGAGUAUAAUUAUCAGGAUUUUGAGUAUGAAUACCAUCAUCAAACCUACGAGGAAGUUGCACCUUCAUAAACCUGGGAACGGUCUGGACUGAAACCAUAGUUUCAGUCAGUUUUUGUAUUGGGCUGCCUUCGGAUUAGAUGAAAUCAGCCAAGUCCCUAAAUCAUCUUAGUUAGGUCUGGGCUUUAACUAUUGUUGGACUGAGUUGGUUUGGUCUGGACACGAACCGAACGGUUCCAGACCGUCUCGACCCAUAGUCUGAAACCAGAUCGAUAGACCAGAUCGCGACCUAGGUGAGGAGCUCCUCUGCCCUCCGCGAGCCAUGGCCUCCGCCCGCCACUGGUAGGGAUCUUCUGCUGCCGCUGCCGACCAAAUCGUAGCGAUCUUCUGCCGCCGGCUGGAGCUUGGUCGCGCCGCUGUCUGGAGCUUAGUCGCUGCCUUCCCCUCGCUUGGCUGGAGCUUGGCCGCCGCUCACCGCUGCGUUUAGGGCUCGAUGGCUGCCGCUGUAGUUGCCAUUGGCUGGAGCUCGGCAGGUGAGAGGUAGCCGCUGCCGAUCAAGACGCCGCCGCCGGUGACUCAAGAUACGGCUGCCAAAGUUGGUUGGAUUCUGAAACAUUUGAUCAAUGCCUGUUACCUAUUGUGUAAGAUUUGGGGACUGAAUCUUGUGUGAAUGUUUCAUGUGCUGCUGUGCAUCUCUGCUUUUGUCACUGCUCAUCUUGGACAGAGUUCUUUGAGAAAUCAGGCCUACUUUUGUUCUAUUAAUCUACUCCUAACGUAUUGAUUGUUUCUUCAAGAACAGGGGGAAACGUGAAGUAUUUUUAGUGUGUUUCGCUGCAUCUUUACUCUAGAAUUAUCGAUUGAUUAUUUUCAAAGUGUUUGCAGUGUGUAGCAGAGCAAAGCUAAGGUAAAUACAAUAUAUGGAUGUGGUGCCGAUGUUGCUGCUGGAGCUUGGAAUGGCUUGAGAAGCCGCUUAUUGCACAUUUUUUUCCAAGACAGUUUUUGUAGUUCAGAAGUGAGGAAAAGAAUUUGUCUAUGUGAAUCAGCGGCAGACUCUUGUGACCUGGAGAUUCAACUGAGUGAAUCAGUUGAAUGAGUGAUAAUUUGUAACAGAUGAGCUGUAUCGUCUGAAUUUAAUUGUAUGCAUGCAACACUUAGUAUUAUUAUUGUACAAUUCAUA
This is a long non-coding RNA of Aegilops tauschii subsp. strangulata, 1336 nucleotides long. RefSeq lists it as uncharacterized. The record is from RefSeq and is a predicted model, not a curated record. Lineage: Eukaryota; Viridiplantae; Streptophyta; Magnoliopsida; Poales; Poaceae.